This 370-nucleotide ribosomal RNA is filed under the name uncultured eukaryote. RNAcentral's name for it is "partial 18S ribosomal RNA". It matches the Rfam family "Eukaryotic small subunit ribosomal RNA", at positions 592 to 976 of the family's 1831-position model. The record is from RNAcentral.
CAAUAGCGUAUAUUAAAGUUGUUGCAGUUAAAAAGCUCGUAGUUGGACCUUGGACCUGGACAGGCGGUCCGCCUCACGGCGUGUACUGUCUUGCUGGGUCUUUCCCCUUGGUGAUCUGUUGUUUCGGCAGCAGGGAACCAGGACUUUUACUUUGAAAAAAUUAGAGUGUUCAAAGCAGGCUCGACGCCGGAAUAUAUUAGCAUGGAAUAAUAAAAUAGGACGUGCGGUUCUAUUUUGUUGGUUUUUGGAAUCGCCGUAAUGAUUAAUAGGGACAGUCGGGGGCAUUAGUACUCACAUGCUAGAGGUGAAAUUCUUGGAUUUUGUGAAGACUAACUUCUGCGAAAGCAUUUGCCAAGGAUGUUUUCAUUAA